RNAcentral lists this ribosomal RNA (491 nucleotides) under uncultured bacterium. Its description in RNAcentral is "partial 16S ribosomal RNA". It matches the Rfam family "Bacterial small subunit ribosomal RNA", at positions 29 to 506 of the family's 1533-position model. The record is from RNAcentral.
AGUGAACGCUGGCGGUAGGCCUAACACAUGCAAGUCGAACGGCAGCACAGUAAGAGCUUGCUCUUACGGGUGGCGAGUGGCGGACGGGUGAGGAAUACAUCGGAAUCUACUUUUUCGUGGGGGAUAACGUAGGGAAACUUACGCUAAUACCGCAUACGACCUACGGGUGAAAGCAGGGGAUCUUCGGACCUUGCGCGAUUGAAUGAGCCGAUGUCGGAUUAGCUAGUUGGCGGGGAAAAGGCCCACAAAGGCGACGAUCCGUAGCUGGUCUGAGAGGAUGAUCAGCCACACUGGAACUGAGACACGGUCCAGACUCCUACGGGAGGCAGCAGUGGGGAAUAUUGGACAAUGGGCGCAAGCCUGAUCCAGCCAUACCGCGUGGGUGAAGAAGGCCUUCGGGUUGUAAAGCCCUUUUGUUGGGAAAGAAAAGCAGCAGGUUAAUACCCCGCUGUUCUGACGGUACCCAAAGAAUAAGCACCGGCUAACUUCGU